GAACGCAUCUUGCGCUCCUUGGUAUUCUGAGGAGCAUGCCUGUUUGAGUAUCAUGAACACCUCAACUCUCAUGGUUUGCCAUGAUGAGCUUGGACUUUGGGGGACUUGCUGGCCUAUGGUCGGCUCCUCUCAAAUGAAUCAGCUUACCAGUGUUUGGUGGCGUCACAGGUGUGAUAACUAUCUACGCUUGCGGCUUUCCAUCAGGUAACCUUCAGUGAUGGAGGUUUGCUGGGGGCUCAUAAAUGUCUCUCCUCGGUGAGGACAGCUUUUUGAACGUUUGAUCUCAAAUCAGGUAGGACUACCCGCUGAACUUAAG
Molecule: unclassified non-coding RNA, 316 nt
Filed under: uncultured Thelephoraceae
Lineage: Eukaryota; Fungi; Basidiomycota; Agaricomycetes; Thelephorales; Thelephoraceae
Description: sequence contains 5.8S rRNA gene
Source: RNAcentral